This 2352-nucleotide unclassified non-coding RNA is filed under the name Cyanidioschyzon merolae strain 10D. Its description in RNAcentral is "hypothetical transcript". Lineage: Eukaryota; Rhodophyta; Bangiophyceae; Cyanidiales; Cyanidiaceae. The record is from RNAcentral.
AACCACUUGCGCAACAAAGCCUGGCGUUGCUCGAGGUCUGCGGAAAAGAUCUGCACGGGAAUAGCUCGCUCCGUCACUUGCGUUCCCAGAGGAUACCGCGCAAUCACGUAGCGACAGGCGAGGCCCUUGUCGCGAACCAUGUCCUUGCCCAAGAAUUCCUGUAUCCGUUUCGCACAGGUUAUUGCGCUGCUCUUCUGGCCAGCUUGUAUGUAUGCUGCUAGCGGCUUGCUCAUAUGUGUCUGCUCUGCAACGAGUUCGAGAAGCUCAGCAUCACUGAGCAGGCCGCCAUUACUGUCGAGCACAUCGAGCCAGAGGUUCGCAGUCUCGCCAACGGCAGCAUAGCAUUCGGCUAGGGUGCUGCCUUCUAAAAAACGCCCAAAGAUCUCACUCUGAAGCACCUUGAUCAGUUUCAGUUCGCCUCUUCUUUUCAGCUCAAAACCUUUGAUUUCGGCGAGACUCCCAUCGCGCUGGAAUACGGCGUAACGUUUCUUGAUGCUUUUCCCCUCCUCGCGACUGGCGGGGAGUACCAUCGCUCGAUAUGGUCCGUCUAUCUCGAAAAAGAUACUAAACUCGGAGCGCUGCUUGUAUGUUCCCUCGUCCGGUGACCACUCCUGGUAUUGAUGGUUCGUAUACUGUGCGGCGACUUUGGUGUUGAGAACGGUGCAGAGCAAAGAAAUGGAAAUCUCUCGACCACUGCGAGUAUGGAGUGUUAUGUCGUUCGGAAAGGUAGCUGGGAUCGCGCACCAUAUACCGUCAGUGUCGAGCUCAAGUGGCAAGCCGACGCGCUCGAUCCACUCGCGGGCGAGGCGAAUGAUACUCGCACCGGUCUGUGUGACAACACCCGCCAUUUCCAUGGAGUACCAGCGAGCAGCUCUGCGCAUGACGUAGCCGUAAAAGGAGUUCAGGAUACACUUGUGCGCGAGUUGCAUUGAAUCAUAGACGAUGCACAUGUUGCGCGCUUCGAUGGAGGCGCCGCCGCUUUCCGCCAGCGCUUUGCGCCACUGCUUGAGUAGCCGCUUGUAUUCGUAGCGACGGUCCCGAAACGCUCGCACGGUGUCUACGUAGAAGGGAUUCUCGCGCUGACAUAUCCAGGCUUCUCGCGUCUGAACGGUCGGUUCGAGGACUCUUUUGUGGACCUUCAUGCAGUACUCCCGUAGUCGUUUCCUGUACAUGGCCUCAGCGUCAUCAUCCGAAACUUUCUCUCCUUGCCGUCGACGGGCCCGUACGGUCGUCAGGACUGAGGCGCGGAUACUCUGCACCUCUCCAAUGGUUGCAGGAUAGCACUCUCCUCGCCAGACCCAGUGCAUCUUGCGGCGGCAGUCAGACGUGCCGUUAAAAUCACAGGCUGCGCAAGUUUCCCGCGUGACGCAAGCGUGCGGCUGCAACCGGUUCGUCAGGAUAAUAUUCGGGUACAUGGCGCCCACAUCCAGGUGGAGAAUCAGGGGGCGCUCCUGCAGCAGCGGCUGCUCGGCAAGGCGUUUGAGUCGUUCCGCGAGGUCUGCCCGCACAUUUUCAUAGUCCGUAAUUUCCUCCAGAUGCAAAUCCUGUUCACGCUCGAUUGCGAACUGAAGGAACUGGUCCAAGUUUUCUUGCAGCUCCCGAACAGCCGCUGUGUCAAUUCUGAAUGGGAUGGGAAGGUCUGCACGGUAGAUACCUGACUGCAGUGCCUCAACAUGUCCACCAAUGUAGGUCUCAUUGGCGAGCAAGCGGCUUUGAAACGUUCGUUCUGUCGCAUUGUUUUUGAACUUGUUUGGAGCUACGAUGUUUCUCCGAUGGGCCUCACACAUCAAGAGGCUUUCGCAGAGAGUGCCCGAGCCUUUUCGAAGAACAUCAUCCGGUCCAAAUGGCAAAAUGUUGCACAACGAAAAUAUGAAAGGUUGGACAUACUUCAUAUACAACUGAUAGGUGGCGACUGCAUCGGACACCGAGUAGGCAGCGAGUUCCUGAGGCCGUGUCCGCGCAGCUGUUAGCAUCUCCUCGGGGUCGAGUUCGUGCGGUUCGUAACCUAGCAAAGCCCUGGUCACUGCUUUGAGACCACGGGAGCCUUGCGGAAGGUAGCUAUCUCGAUUCACCCAAUGGAUGCAAUCCAUGUGGACUGCAGCGCGUCCGCGGCAUAAGCCUCUUGCUGCCGAGAACGACAUUCCGAUCUUGUCCAGAAUGUUGAUGCCUAGACGGCUAGCACGGACAUGCACGAAAAACCAAUCGAAGGCGUCUCCGUUGUACGUUACGUAGACCCGCGGUUGUGCGGCUCGCGCCUCGGCGAAAAAGCGCCGCAGUAGCGAUGCUUCAUCGGGUUCGUUGAAGACGACAAAGCUAGAUUCAAACUCAGGCUUCGGAGCGUAUGUAAACCCG